Mastacembelus armatus (zig-zag eel) is the source of this 74-nucleotide small nucleolar RNA. Ensembl annotates it as small nucleolar RNA, C/D box 59A. Lineage: Eukaryota; Metazoa; Chordata; Actinopteri; Synbranchiformes; Mastacembelidae. The record is from Ensembl.
UCUUCAAUGAUGAUUUAUACAGUGACUUUCGUUCUUCUGAUCCUACUGAAGCCAGUCUUUCUGUCCUGAGAAGA